This 200-nucleotide long non-coding RNA is filed under the name Vitis vinifera (wine grape). RNAcentral describes it as "long non-coding RNA (VVIN_LNC007687)". Lineage: Eukaryota; Viridiplantae; Streptophyta; Magnoliopsida; Vitales; Vitaceae. The record is from RNAcentral.
CACUCUUAGGGUUGAAAAAAGGUUACAAGGAUGAGAAAAAACUCAUUAUCUUCCUCAAUCUCUUCAUCUUUGUAACAUUCAAAAAUUAAAUCAUAUGUUUAAUUCACACAUUAAACAUGAUUUAAUCUCAAAUGUGUAACUCUCUUACACUUAACCUCUUAAGUUUAUAAAGUUACAAAGAUGAGAAGACUCAUUGUCUU